This 104-nucleotide ribosomal RNA is filed under the name Periophthalmus magnuspinnatus. The record is from RNAcentral. Lineage: Eukaryota; Metazoa; Chordata; Actinopteri; Gobiiformes; Gobiidae.
UGUAACUAUUAUACUUGCCUGAUCUCAUCCAAUCAAGAAGCUAAGCAAGGCCGAGCCUGGUUAGUACUUAGAUGGGAGAGUGCUGAGAAUGCCAGACGUCACAG